Equus caballus (horse) is the source of this 52-nucleotide non-coding RNA. The record is from Rfam. NCBI's taxonomy places the organism in Eukaryota, Metazoa, Chordata, Mammalia, Perissodactyla, Equidae.
UUUUUAGUAUAAAUAUGUCCUAUGCAAUAUUUGGGACAUACUUACACUAAAA